UCCGGUUUAACACCGGCAGUCUUCUUAGAGUGCUCAGCCGAACUGCUAGCAACUAAGAACAAGGGUUGCGCUCGUUACGGGACUUAACCCAACAUCUCACAACACGAGCUGACGACAGCCAUGCAGCACCUGUCUCCUGGUUCCCUCGCGGGCACUCCAAAAUCUCUUCUGGAUUCCAGGGAUGUCAAAAGUAGGUAAGGUUCUUCGCGUUGCAUCGAAUUAAACCACAUGCUCCACCGCUUGUGCGGGCCCCCGUCAAUUCCUUUGAGUUUUAACCUUGCGGCCGUACUCCCCAGGCGGAGAACUUAGCGCGUUUGCUACGCUACUGAUGCCCUUGGGCACCAACAGCUAGUUCUCAUCGUUUACAGCGUGGACUAC
This 378-nucleotide unclassified non-coding RNA is filed under the name uncultured Gammaproteobacteria bacterium. RNAcentral describes it as "contains 16S-23S intergenic spacer region". The record is from RNAcentral. Lineage: Bacteria; Pseudomonadati; Pseudomonadota; Gammaproteobacteria.